This 800-nucleotide long non-coding RNA is filed under the name Gallus gallus (chicken). RNAcentral's name for it is "lncRNA (ENSGALG00010000527.1)". The record is from RNAcentral. Lineage: Eukaryota; Metazoa; Chordata; Aves; Galliformes; Phasianidae.
GUCCGACAUAGCAGGAAGCGCUAAUUUCAUCCACGUCAAUUACUUUGAUGAACGCUCAUACUGUUCAGGGUGCGAGAACAAGAUAAAAGAAUUACUGAAAUAAAAAGCAUACACCCGCCUGCAUGGCCCCCUCCCCUCUGGCCCCCACCCCGGAGCCCUGCAGGGCCGUGGGGCUGGGCUGCCCGCACGCAGCCAGCUGGGUGGUGAUGGGGCGGAUGAGACUGCCUUGGGUUCAAAAGGAGGAGAUUUGGGAUGGAGACAUGGCAGGACCACCCCCUGCAAUUGAACGCAGAGCCUCUCAGGGCAGAUGGAAGGAGAACGCCUCCGCUGUGGUCAGUCCCUGAAGACAAAGUGGAUGCUGCUGGCACACUGGAAUGACGGCACGGGUUUGCUGACGGUUUUGCAUGGGAGCAUCGGUUGGGUUUACACCUACAAGUGCUUGGCUAUGGCAGCGGGGCAUCCCAUGGAAAGGCCAAAAAGCAGCAGAGAGAUCCAGGGAAGGAGGAGAUGGCACACGCUGCAAGCCUGUUCUCUGUCAGCGACGCUGCUGGGAGCACGGACACCCAUAGUGGAGCCAGCAGCUGAGGACAGCUCACAGGAGAGGAAAAAAAUGGAGCCAAGGAUGGCACUGUCUCUUUAAAAAUAAAUAAAUAGAUAAAGACUAAAAAAAAAAAAAAGAAAGAAAAAAUGCAAUAAGUAUAUGCAAAUGUGUUGAGCCGAACAUCGCUGUCUGUGAAACAGAUGAGGGAGAAAGUGCUUGAAGCUAGAGAGGAAUGAGGCAGCCAGCGCUGACCCCGGGG